RNAcentral lists this ribosomal RNA (273 nucleotides) under uncultured bacterium. Its description in RNAcentral is "partial 16S ribosomal RNA". It matches the Rfam family "Bacterial small subunit ribosomal RNA", at positions 524 to 794 of the family's 1533-position model. The record is from RNAcentral.
UACGGAGGGUGCAAGCGUUAUUCGGAAUUACUGGGCGUAAAGCGCGUGUAGGCGGGAAGGUAAGUCUGAUGUGAAAGCCCCGGGCUUAACCUGGGAAGUGCAUUGGAAACUGCUUUUCUUGAGUACUGGAGAGGAAGGGAGAAUUCCCGGUGUAGAGGUGAAAUUCGUAGAGAUCGGGAGGAACACCAGUGGCGAAGGCGACUUUCUGGCCUGUUCUUGACGCUGAGGCGCGAAAGCUAGGGGAGCAAACGGGAUUAGAUAACCCGUAGUAGU